This is a long non-coding RNA of Penaeus indicus, 594 nucleotides long. RefSeq lists it as uncharacterized. The record is from RefSeq and is a predicted model, not a curated record. NCBI's taxonomy places the organism in Eukaryota, Metazoa, Arthropoda, Malacostraca, Decapoda, Penaeidae. The transcript has 3 exons.
GAGAGAAUCAAGCAAAUAUGAUCUGCAGGUAGUCCUCGCUCUCUUGGCCGCCGUGGCCACCGCCGGCUAAGUUUAUGAGAGCUCACAGGUUCGCUUUGCUUUCCUCGAGGUGAUGGCCAUCCUCAGGGGCGGCUGCGUAAUGAGGACGGCGGGAUGUAGAACUUAAACGACGAGAACAGUCAAGGGCGUCGUCUUGUCUGUGUCGGGCCCCCCUGAUGGUCUCGAGGGUGCCAUCAACAGUGCCACAUACCGCUCCUGACGGCACUCUCGUGGCCGACGAGACCGUCUAUCAGCCUCAGCCCGACCUCCUGCCCGUGGCUCCUGGGUGACCCGACCCGAUCCCGACCAGAUCGCCUUCGCCGCUGAGGAGAACGCCGCCCGCGGUGACCUCAGGGGGCGCCAUCCGUCCAUCCAACAGAUAUGGAGCUCCCUAGAAAGCAGAUAUGCUAAAGAUAUUUCGGAUUUUCAUGUUUAAGGGUUUUCAUAAUGCGAUACUGCAUGUGUAUUGACUCUUCUUAUGAUAAAUAAUCUUUAAUGUACAACAGAAUAAAGCUAUAAUGAAUAAAGUUGUGUUAUAUUCUCGUACUGUAAUUA